RNAcentral lists this ribosomal RNA (433 nucleotides) under uncultured bacterium. RNAcentral's name for it is "partial 16S ribosomal RNA". It matches the Rfam family "Bacterial small subunit ribosomal RNA", at positions 29 to 507 of the family's 1533-position model. The record is from RNAcentral.
AACGAACGCUGGCGGCAUGCCUAACACAUGCAAGUCGAACGAGACCUUCGGGUCUAGUGGCGCACGGGUGCGUAACGCGUGGGAACCUGCCCUUAGGUUCGGAAUAACUCCCCGAAAGGGGUGCUAAUACCGGAUAAUGUCUUCGGUCCAAAGAUUUAUCGCCUUUGGAUGGGCCCGCGUUGGAUUAGCUAGUUGGUAGGGUAAAAGCCUACCAAGGCGACGAUCCAUAGCUGGUCUGAGAGGAUGAUCAGCCACACUGGGACUGAGACACGGCCCAGACUCCUACGGGAGGCAGCAGUGGGGAAUAUUGGACAAUGGGCGAAAGCCUGAUCCAGCAAUGCCGCGUGAGUGAUGAAGGCCUUAGGGUUGUAAAGCUCUUUUACCCGGGAUGAUAAUGACAGUACCGGCAGAAUAAGCUCCGGCUAACUCCGUG